UUCUUACUGACAUUAUUGUAAGUAACACCUGCUCAAUGAAUAUUUUUAAAUAGCCGCGGAAAUUUAACCGUGCUAAGGUAGCAUAAUCAUUAGCCUCUUAAUUAGAGGCUCGUAUGAACGGUGAAACAUUUCAAUUACUUUUUUAGUUAAUAUUUUUAAAUUUAAAUUAAGAAUAAAAAUGUUCUUAUAAAUAAAAUAGACGAUAAGACCCUUUUGAACUUUACUCUAGUUUAGCUGGGGCAGCUAAAAAAAAAUAAUCUUAUUUUUAAUAUUUAAAUAAAUGAUCCAAUAAAAUUGAUUAUAUGAACAAGUUACCAUAGGGAUAACAGCGUAAUAUCUUUUUAAAGCUCUUAUUAAAAAAGAAGAUUGCGACCUCGAUGUUGAAUUAGUGUAACUUUACUGAUGCAGUAAUUUUAAAAGUAGGUCUGUUCGACCUUUAAAACAUUACAU
Molecule: ribosomal RNA, 450 nt
Filed under: Argiope aurantia
Lineage: Eukaryota; Metazoa; Arthropoda; Arachnida; Araneae; Araneidae
Description: partial 16S large subunit ribosomal RNA
Rfam family: Bacterial large subunit ribosomal RNA
Source: RNAcentral